Oryza sativa Japonica Group (Japanese rice) is the source of this 1007-nucleotide non-coding RNA. The record is from RefSeq and is a predicted model, not a curated record. Lineage: Eukaryota; Viridiplantae; Streptophyta; Magnoliopsida; Poales; Poaceae.
UCCCUUUUUCUCCCACAUAUCCGAGGUCUCUCUCUCCCUCUCUUUCUCUCUCUUUCUUCCUCAUGACCGGCUGCCGCCACCGUCGGCCGAUCUCCUUCACCGUAGCUCCACAACCCAAACCCUCGCGCCAUCGGGCUUGCCUCGACGAGGGGAAUCCAUUUUUCUAGUUUCCCCUCUUCCCUAUCCACUCCAUCAAGCCACCACAACCACCUCCCUUGCAGCCGAAGAGAAGCUCUUCUACUCGCCGUUCCGGCCAACUCCUCCUCUCUCUCGGCCAGCCACCGACUUCCCCGGGUGCGCGUCGCUCGGGAACACGCUUGGCCGCCGCCGUCGAAGCCGUUCCACCAUCGGAGCACCGGCGCCCCUUCUCUCUCUCUCUCUGUUGUUACACGGGAAGAAGAAGAGAAGGCAGAAGAUAACGGGAGGAAGAAGAAGAAAGAAAAGAAAAAAGGCUGACAGAGUUAAAUUGAAGUUCUUGCUGAAGCCAGGAGUUCAAUCAUAUAAGUUAGUCUUAUUUCAACCUUGUUCUCAAAUCUAGAUUAGUUAGAUGGUUUAAGUCUAUAGCAAAACCUUAGAGUUGAGUCACUCUAUAGCUUCUGCUGUAAUAGUUAGCCAUAAUCUUGUAAAUUCCCCUAUUAUUUUAUGUAAUAACAUCUCCUUUGGAGCCUUGUUUAAAUGUACGCAAUGAAGAUCCAGAUUGUUGAAGCUGUAUCAAUCUACUGAUCCAGGGCUUGAUACAGUUAAACAUAUCGGUUUCCGAAUCAUUAGUUUUGGGAGCCGACAUGGACAGUUGACUAUCUUGCCAAGCGGUGUUUGCCUCAUAUCCAUACAAAAUAUUUUGGUCAAUUGUGUUUUCAAUAGAUAAGUUUAGACCUUGAUCUUGCAAAGGUUUGUAUUAUUUUCCACGCUACCUGAUCAUAAUACUCAAUCCUUCUCUAGUUUGUGGUCAAGAGCAGUGAAAGGGUUGAGAAAGAAUGAGAAAAAUGGGCUCAACUCGAUGAUUAUUU